GAACUUUCAAAUUCGGCUUAUCAGACUAAAUCGGAGCACCCAGACACUGUGUGGGAGAGAGAGAGUGCAACAUGUUUACGAGUUCGUGUGUGUGGUUGCUGGGCCCGAAAGAAAAGGAAAAAUAGACAGAAGCAACAAGAAAAGGCAACGCGGAAUGGAAAAAUAACACUGCUCGACAAAAUCAAACAUUUUUUUUCAGCUUCGAAGGAAACCAACUUGUUUGAAGAAUUUUUAAAUGGGUAUUGUUUCGUAACGGUAGCUCUUUAUUUUAGAGGUGGCGCUUCUUUUUUUAUCAUAACUGGAUCGAAGCGGAAAAAUCUUGUCGAGUAGUG
Molecule: long non-coding RNA, 332 nt
Filed under: Drosophila guanche
Lineage: Eukaryota; Metazoa; Arthropoda; Insecta; Diptera; Drosophilidae
Source: RNAcentral